This 212-nucleotide long non-coding RNA is filed under the name Brassica napus (rape). RNAcentral's name for it is "long non-coding RNA (BNAP_LNC006362)". The record is from RNAcentral. Lineage: Eukaryota; Viridiplantae; Streptophyta; Magnoliopsida; Brassicales; Brassicaceae.
GAAGCGGAGAGCAAGCGAAGCGAGGUUGAUCGACUAAACGGCUCGGAGCGAGCAUCUCAUAAUCAGGCCCGAAGGGCCGACAAAGCCCAAUCAGUAAAAAGAGAUUAGGUUAAGGUAAUCGAACAGAGUAUAAAAGGAGAGGAAAGCAAAGGAGAAAGGCAUGGACACUUAGCUACACAAACUUAGCGGCGAGAUUAGGGUUUAUCAUCCGU